GUUCACAUUUUACCUCCUGUCAUGUGUCUUUGCUAUUCUUUUGUCACCAGCGAAGAAGCCCCUCGGUUAAUACGUUAACUAUUCUAGGGUCGAGCAGCAAUGGAGUAACUGUGUCACUAUUCAUUUAGGAGGUUGAACUGUACUGUACUCAAAUUACUGUAUGGAUAUUGUUUCUUAUUUAUUAUUUUUUAAACUUAUUUUAGGUAUGUGUGUUUAGGAAAACUGCACUGUAUCUCAGGACAGAAAACAAAUUGGGACAGAACAUUUCCAUGUGUAUGUGUGUAAUAAAUACUUAAAUAUGCUGUAUGCAGACACAUCAGCAACUUUUUUUUUCUUUUUUUCCCUAGCAGUAGCAGCGGGACACCAAGCAGCAACAAGCUGCUUUUUGAAUGAACUGUGACAAGGUGGUGGUCUUUUCCCCCCUCCCUCUGUCGUCUAUCUUCCGGGAACGCUAAUAGGCUCCAUGCAGAGUAAUGUGACCAAUCGAAUCAUCCUCGGCCCGGAGCUGGAAGUUGCAGAUCAGCAGGGCAGAGAGCAUCGCGCUCACUACAGCUGCAGCAUAAAAGGGAAAAAAAAAAACUCAGCGGUGACACGAACAGUGUUUGUCUCAGGACAGGGAUUUUACAGGGAUUUUACACCCUGUCCUGCCAAAAGGAACUACCAUUUGCAGCAUUUCAAUUGGUUUUGUCCACUUUUUCCACUUGGCAGACCUCAGACCAGCUCAUUGGUGAAAAGGUCAGAGGGCCCCUCUGUAACCCUGACUGCUGAUUGAGGAUCUGUAAAGAUGACAACCAAAUCCAAUAGUGGUGUUCUGGAUGGCAAGGCAUCCUCCUCCCCUCUUCUGUCGUCACCAAACCGGCAGCGUCUGGUCACCAAAGACGGACACUGCACCCUUCGUCCCCCGCUUUGUCCCUCUGGCUCAUGGCUCGCAGCAUCGAGCCGGGCUUGGCUGUUAGCCCUGCAUGACAUGUGGGGACAGUUAGUUGGUCUGCGCUGGAGAUGGGUCCUGUUGGCCUUCUGUGCAUCCUUUGUGGCUCACUGGCUGCUGUUUGCUUGCCUUUGGUACUUGCUGGCUCACAUCAAUGGAGACCUAGAUGUUCUGGAUCACGACGCCCCCCCAGAGGGGCAUGUGGUUUGUGUGAAGCACAUUACCAGCUUCACCGCCGCCUUCUCCUUUUCCCUCGAGACACAGCUCACCAUCGGCUAUGGCACCAUGUUCCCCAGUGGAGACUGUCCUAGUGCCAUAGCACUGCUGGCUGUGCAGAUGCUGCUGGGGCUCAUGCUGGAGGCAUUCAUCACAGGUGCAUUUGUGGCCAAGAUCUCAAGACCUCAGAAGCGAGCCGGAGCCAUCCAGUUCAGCCACUUAGGCGUGGUGGGCCUGCACCAGGGCCAAACUUGUCUCAUGUUACGAGCCACGAACCUGCUACGGCGCCCUCUGGUCGAUGUGAAAGUGAGUGCUGUGCUCUAUGAGGAGCAUGAAGGCCAACCCUUGCACCAAACCUCUCUGGACUUCUAUGUGGAUCAUCUGGGCCAACAUCCCUGCCCCUUCUUCGUCUUCCCACUCACCUUUUACCAUCCCCUGGACCGCCGUAGCCCCCUCUACCCCGCCCUGCGUGAAGGCACGUCCAAGCACUUUGAGCUGGUGGUGUUCCUGUCAGCCUCGCAGGAAGGAACAGGUGACACCUGCCAGAAGAGGACCUCCUACCUGCGCCAGGAGAUCCAGUUUGACCGUUGCUUUGUACCCGCCUUGGGGAUGGAUGCCUGUGGAAGAUCAACGGUGAUGGCAGCGACAGGAUGGAGUGAAGAUACUGGAGAGGAGGUUACACUGGGACAAAGGGCAGUUUCUGAGCAGAAUGGAUUUCCAUCCUUAGUUCCAGUACCAGCCUUCCUCUACCCAGCUGACUUUGCAGUCCUCAAAGGAGUCCUCCAGGCGAGCCCGAGCCAAUAGGUACUGUAGGACGAUGCCAAAAUGUUCGUCAUCAUUGUACAUUGAUAUCACGUUUUACAUUAUUUCAUUAUAAUGGCACAUUGAAUUACACCGGGAUCUAAUUCGAAGUCAUCAUCGUAAGUCUGCGGCUUCGGUCACGGCCUGCAAAAUGGUGGAUCAGGUGACGGCGGACGCCAAGGCUCGUGUGGUCCAGGGCGGCGGGACCCCGGGUGCUGACAGCUGGUGCUCAAUGAGUGUGAGCUCCAGUUUGAUCAGUACCAGGGCCAGACCUUCACGUGGCUGCUGAGCAACGACGUAGACUACGCCUGGCCUCUCGCCAGAAGGAACGGGACGGCGGAGACACAUCGCAGUUGCCCCUCGCUCGAAAGAAAGACGCCCUGGUAUCCUACUCCUGACUGUUUCCGGACAUCUCCCUGGCCGGCCGGAACCGCGUAUCCUACUCCUGUCUGUUUCCGGACAUCUCCCUGGCCGGCCGGAACCGCACGACGCUCAGGCGCGCUGGCAAUCAGGGACAUUGAUGACAGGCUGCUGGAUUUCGGGGAGUACCGUCAGGAGACCUAUCGCUUCCUUUAUGAGUCUCCCAGCGAGGAGCAUCAAUUGUAAGUUGUUUUAUUGCCUGUGAAAAUUUAAAUGAAAUUGUCCUAUCCUAUAUACGUGGCAUGGAUGAGGAAGACCGAGGUGUUCCAGGGCUCGCGGAUGCACUCCUUCAAACAGUACAUCCUGGGCCGAGACAGACAGCCCAAGUACUAAGCAGGAGAGGGUGAGCUGUCUGAGCAGCAGCUAAUGUCAGCCGUCGUGGAAGUAGUCUCAGCUGUCUUAGGAACCGUCAGCGUCCGCUUCUUCCAUAGAUGCACUCGCCAGAGAGCUGACAGCUGGUAGCAGAAAGUCGACCUACGACACAAAAGUGCUGCCGAAGGGCUGGCUCCAAAUUUUGCUGGAGACCGAGCACGAAUGGCUGGCCAAAGCGCUCUACAUCAGAGGUCCCGGUGGGAAAACGGUCCUGACGUCCAAGCUCCGGCUGUGGUGGAACCACCCGAAACGCCGCUUUAUUACACCCAGCCCCCCACCUCCUACAGGGCGUUCUUCCACCAUCGGUUCUUGCUCUGGGUGCCGUAAAAG
Phyllopteryx taeniolatus (common seadragon) is the source of this 3067-nucleotide RNA transcript. It is a transcript of the gene named potassium inwardly rectifying channel subfamily J member 13, with no coding region annotated. The record is from RefSeq and is a predicted model, not a curated record. The transcript is spliced from 8 exons. Lineage: Eukaryota; Metazoa; Chordata; Actinopteri; Syngnathiformes; Syngnathidae.